Molecule: ribosomal RNA, 610 nt
Filed under: Bacillus vallismortis
Lineage: Bacteria; Bacillati; Bacillota; Bacilli; Caryophanales; Bacillaceae
Description: bacterial SSU rRNA
Rfam family: Bacterial small subunit ribosomal RNA
Source: RNAcentral
CGGUGCGGCUAGCUAUACAUGCAAGUCGAGCGGACAGAUGGGAGCUUGCUCCCUGAUGUUAGCGGCGGACGGGUGAGUAACACGUGGGUAACCUGCCUGUAAGACUGGGAUAACUCCGGGAAACCGGGGCUAAUACCGGAUGCUUGUUUGAACCGCAUGGUUCAAACAUAAAAGGUGGCUUCGGCUACCACUUACAGAUGGACCCGCGGCGCAUUAGCUAGUUGGUGAGGUAAUGGCUCACCAAGGCAACGAUGCGUAGCCGACCUGAGAGGGUGAUCGGCCACACUGGGACUGAGACACGGCCCAGACUCCUACGGGAGGCAGCAGUAGGGAAUCUUCCGCAAUGGACGAAAGUCUGACGGAGCAACGCCGCGUGAGUGAUGAAGGUUUUCGGAUCGUAAAGCUCUGUUGUUAGGGAAGAACAAGUGCCGUUCAAAUAGGGCGGCACCUUGACGGUACCUAACCAGAAAGCCACGGCUAACUACGUGCCAGCAGCCGCGGUAAUACGUAGGUGGCAAGCGUUGUCCGGAAUUAUUGGGCGUAAAGGGCUCGCAGGCGGUUUCUUAAGUCUGAUGUGAAAGCCCCCGGCUCAACCGGGGAGGGUCAUUGG